GACGAACGCUGGCGGCGUGCUUAGCACAUGCAAGUCGAACGGAAAGGCCCUGCUUUUGUUGGGUGCUCGAGUGGCGAACGGGUGUGUAACACGUGAGUAACCUGCCCUUGUCUUUGUGAUAACUUCAGGAAACUGGGGCUCAUACCGGAUAUGAGCUCCUGCUGCAUGGUGGUGGUUGGAAAGUUUCGGCGGUUGGGGAUGGACUCGCGGCUUCUCCGCUUGUUGGUGUGGUAGUGGCUUACCAAGGCUUUGACGGGUAGCCGGCCUUAGAGGGUGACCGGCGACAAUGGGACUGAGAGACGGAGCAGACUCCUACGGGAGGCAGAAGUGGGGAAUAUUGCACAAUGGGCGGAAGCCUGAGGCAGCAACGCCGCGUGCGGGAUGACGGCCUUCGGGUGGUAAACAGCUGUCGCCGGUGACGAAGCGUGAGUGACGGUAAUGGGUAAAGAAGCACCGGCUAACUACGUG
RNAcentral lists this ribosomal RNA (468 nucleotides) under uncultured bacterium. RNAcentral describes it as "partial 16S ribosomal RNA". It matches the Rfam family "Bacterial small subunit ribosomal RNA", at positions 28 to 507 of the family's 1533-position model. The record is from RNAcentral.